AACGAACGCUGGCGGCAUGCCUAACACAUGCAAGUCGAACGAGACCUGCGGGUCUAGUGGCGCACGGGUGCGUAACGCGGGGGAACCUGCCCUUAGGUUAGGAAUAACGCACCGAAAGGGGUGCAAAUAACGGGAAAUGUCUUCGGGCCAAAGAUUUAUCGCCUUUGGAUGGGCCCGCGUUGGGUUAAAUAGUUGGUAGGGUAAAAGGCUACCAAGGCGACGAUCCAUAGCUGGUCUUAGAGGAUGAUCAGCCACACUGGGAAUGAGACACGGCCCAGACUUCUACGGAAGGCCGGAGUUGUGAAUAUUCAACAAUGGGCGAAAGCCUGAUCCAUCCAUGUCGUGUGAGUGAUGAAUGCCUUAGGGUUGUAUAUCUCUUUUACCCGGGAUCAUAAUGACAGUACCGUGCGAAUAAGCGCCGGCUAACUCCGUG
Molecule: ribosomal RNA, 433 nt
Filed under: uncultured bacterium
Lineage: Bacteria
Description: partial 16S ribosomal RNA
Rfam family: Bacterial small subunit ribosomal RNA
Source: RNAcentral